This 489-nucleotide ribosomal RNA is filed under the name uncultured bacterium. RNAcentral's name for it is "bacterial SSU rRNA". It matches the Rfam family "Bacterial small subunit ribosomal RNA", at positions 28 to 517 of the family's 1533-position model. The record is from RNAcentral.
GAUGAACGCUAGCGGCAGGCUUAACACAUGCAAGUCGAGGGGUAUGCCGAUUUAUCGGCAGAGACCGGCGCACGGGUGCGUAACGCGUAUGCAAUCUACCUUUCACAGAGGGAUAGCCCAGAGAAAUUUGGAUUAAUACCUCAUAGUAUAGCGGUUUCGCAUGAAACCACUAUUAAAGUUCCAACGGUAAAGAUGAGUAUGCGUCCCAUUAGCUAGAUGGUAAGGUAACGGCUUACCAUGGCUACGAUAGGUAGGGGUCCUGAGAGGGAGAUCCCCCACACUGGUACUGAGACACGGACCAGACUCCUACGGGAGGCAGCAGUGAGGAAUAUUGGACAAUGGGCGCAAGCCUGAUCCAGCCAUGCCGCGUGCAGGAAGAAGCAUCUAUGGUGUGUAAACUGCUUUUUGUACGGGAAGAAACACUCCUACGUGUAGGAGCUUGACGGUACCGUAAGAAUAAGGAUCGGCUAAACUCCGUGCCAGCAGCCG